Molecule: non-coding RNA, 97 nt
Organism: Recurvomyces mirabilis
Lineage: Eukaryota; Fungi; Ascomycota; Dothideomycetes; Mycosphaerellales; Teratosphaeriaceae
Source: the annotation of a RefSeq genome assembly
GGGCGCUUGGUCUAGGGGUAUGAUACUCGCUUCGCAUGCUUCCAAACUGCGAACAUGACUUUGUGAGUGGUCGUGGGUUCAAUUCCCACAGCGUCCA